CGCUGGGUACCGCGUGUGAAACACUCCAUUCGCUUAUUGAUUGAGCCGCCGUCAAAUUCAAUCACAAGUGAAAAUGGAUUUUUUAAUGCGACUAUUAGCUGCUUUUGAAAGGCAAAUUGAGUUCGGUUAUACCGAGUCAGCCAUCAAAAAACAAUUUGCCGUCAGGCAGAAGGGCCGGAGAGGAGCAGCGCCCGCGGGUCGGGAGAUCCGAGACGGGAGCCACAGGAAAAUACGGCUUUUCCUCCUCAAAAACGCACUGGAUGAGGAAGAUCACAAAGGCUCCGCGAGGAAGGUGCGGUGACACCGGGCUGGGGAGGGACAUUUCUGCACAGCAAGGCUGGGGACAAACGAGCUGCGAACGUAGCGGGGGCUGAGCCCGCUCCCAGUGCCAGCUCUCAGGUACCUGGGAGGGCAGCAGGGAUGUGGGGGCUGAGGACACCCUUGAACAGAAAUCCCUGGCCUGACACUGCUCUAUCCGAAACUUCCCUGAGUCACUUUGGCCUCGGCCCCGUGAGGAGGCGACAGCUCCAGAGGGAAUUUUGCAGGGCACUGCACCAAAUCCCGCAGCAUUCCCGAGCCCUGAGGAGGGACUGGCUGCAGGGAGCUCGGGGUGACACCUGCAGCUCCCGAGACAUGGGGGCAUUGUGGGAUGGGACCCCAAAAGCUGCACCCCAGUGUGGGAAGGAGGAAAGCAGGACUGGCCAGGUGAGGGUGUCAGCUCAAGUCCCAGCAGGUUCCCCGCAGUGCGGCGCGGUCCAGCCCCGGCUCCUUCCAUCAUGUCACUUUUCCUAAGCACCAAGAUUUCUUUUCUGCUUUGUAUUUCUGGCAAGAAACCUUUGCAUUUAGAUAAGGAAUAAAGCCUGGAAUCAGAUCUGAA
Cyanistes caeruleus (blue tit) is the source of this 877-nucleotide long non-coding RNA. RefSeq lists it as uncharacterized. NCBI's taxonomy places the organism in Eukaryota, Metazoa, Chordata, Aves, Passeriformes, Paridae. The record is from RefSeq and is a predicted model, not a curated record.